GAACACCCUGUAUAGUCAUCCCUCGAUUUACGUCGUUUUGACUAACGUCAUCUAUCGCGGAACUAAUUACAACGUAAAUUCGGGGUAUGACUGUACUAUACCAAUAGGACAUGAAUAUAAAUCAAUGGAAUUCGAGUUGCAUAACAUCAUUUUUGUUCUGAGAAAUAAGAAAAAUCUAAUUAACUGUACCUACGAAAUCCUACCCGCCGCAUUUAGCAACUCCGCACAGAUGACCUUAGAAAUGUUCUGCUUUACGGAAGCUCGCGUCUAAUAGCCUGCAACCUUCGAAAAUCCGCGACCACACCAUCUCAAUAACCGACAAAAGAGGAGGUCCAGUGUUUUUACCUGAAGCUUGAGACCUUCACUGUAAAAUGCAGAUAACUAGUUCUUCUUGUAAAUCCAUCAAGUGUACAAUUCAGACCACUAGUACAGUAGGCUCCCUAGGGCACGUCCGUAGACGAAAUAGUGAACAGCGGACCCUCAACGUAUCCUAGGAGACAACGCAGAAUAUCCUCUCUUCUUCAAGAACGUAGACGUUGGGGCGACCGAUUCAUUAACCUGCUUGAAUUGGUAUUUGUAAGUUAUUUUAUCAAAAUUGUAAAGCUCUUUGUUCCUAACUUCCAUUUGGAUACGUUAAGUUCAUCGUAAAGACAACCACCCUCUGACAAAUAUUGGUAUAGUAGAAGCUCGUUCAUUCGACCUUCGAUUAAUCGAGGCCCCGCAUUAACCGAAACACCCAACUCAUUCGAGCACUCUGCAUUAGCCGAGGUGUAUGCGUGAAUAACACGGAAAAACUCUGAUAAAACGGAUGUGACAGUUAUGCCUAUGCGCGGAGUAGCCCGUAGCUGCUACAUUAUUUCUUACAGGCAUAAACUUGCAUGAGCCAGUUUCGUUCUUAUAUUGCGAGUUAUUACUGGAACAGUUCCAAUCCUGAAGUCAAUGGUAGAACAUCGUGAUGACUCAAAAAAGGAAAAAGAUUAUAGUGAGUGUAGAACAGAAGUUACAAGUAGUAAAAAGAUUUGAUUGGGGCGAAAUUAUUCGCAAUGUCGCAGCCGAUUAUGGAAUUGCAGAGACCACUGUAGGAGAUUGGCGUCAGAAUCAAGCUAAUUUGGAACGAUUUACGACCUAAUUCUGUGGUGCAAUGAAAACUCGUAAAACGAUGAAACCAGCAGAGUAUGAUAAAAUAAAUACGACUUUAUUCUUAUGAUUUACUCGAAUCAGGGAAAAGAGACUGCCCGUAACAGGCUAUGACUCUCGCGAAACUGUUUCCUGGCAAAAGGCAGACUUUUACAACAAGCUCUUAAUGGCUAGAGAAAAAGGAUGAAAAGGCACGAUAUUCGUCAUUUGAACAUUUAUGGCGAAAUAUUGUCAACUGAUGAAGUUGGACUGAAUGAUUCUCCAUGAUCCAUCAACACAGCACCUGUUCAGUACCCCGAUGACGAUAGAAGGGCAAACACAUCACCACUACUUAUUUUUGAAGAUGUUAUAAACUGGAAAAAAAUGUAAAUAGUAAGGAUCUAAUAUCCACAGCAAUUCAAAAAAACUGCUACUCUGCUCUACCGAAUAAACGAUUAAACGCCUCUACUACUAUUACUACUGCUACUGCUGCUACUGCUGCUACUGCUGCUACUACUACUACUACUACUACUACUAGACCAUUAAGUGUAAGAAUUUUUAAUCUUGUACACGUUUAUUUGAUUUAAAAAAUUAUAUUACAUUUACAAAUUUUUAAAAAUAUAAAUUAUGUGGUCGAGGGUCCAUUUAAGGAACCGCUACAAGAUGGCAUACAGCUACCGGAGAACGAAUAUUUGGACUCCCUCUAAUUUGGAAUUGUAUUACGGGUACAUGCGCAUGCAACCACCCGAAACGUGAACUGUGUACACCCCACUAGUAUUGCACUACCUACUCGUAAACACGGAGAUCGAUGUAGAUACGGGGGUGUGCAUGCUCUGCGCGCGGUGCGUCAUGCAUGCGUAUGCAUCUGCAACGUGCACCGGUUGUAUCGAUUAUUAUACAUAUAGAGUUUCGGGAUACAAUCGUAAUGUGGCGAUGAAGUCCCUGCCCCGCAAUUAUAAACACUGUUUUUGUUAUUACUAUUACUAUAUUACUCUUAUUAUCAUUAAAUAUUGUGACGUGGCACUUUGUGCACGUUACAAAAAGAUUAGAGAAUAGACGAACUCAUAGCUGCACUCUGAGGUCUGCAAGGUAACAUAAGAUUUGCGUCAAUCAUAGACUGACAUUAUCAAUAGGAAUUAUUAUUAAUUCCCUUCGGGGUAUGUAUUUUGUGUUUUGCAAAUGGGAGUCGGUUCCGUAAAGGAAUCGACAACAUAUUAGGACGCAAAAGGGCCCACGAGGGACUAACAACAGCCCUGACUACUUCAAAGGAUCUCAGAAGGGACGCUGCAACCACCCAGAAGAGGAAAAGAUGCCGGGAUCUACUUUUCUAGGAUCGAGGAGAACAAUGGAAGAUUGUGCGUGAAUCAACCGGAUUCGGGGAUAGCGCAAAUCUUAUUGGGCCGAAGUACUAUAUUCCUCUGUUAUAUCCCAAAGCGGAUCUACUCAAGUAAAUGCAAUCGGUAAAUUCUUUUCGGCACAUCGAACUUUUUGAUUGCCUCAUGUAAUUCCUGGAACGCUGAGUAGCAGGCCACGCGUUCACACUACAUGCCAGCGCGAGGAAUGAAGCAAGACUCUUUCUGCAAGAUCAUCAAUAUUGCGGUGCAUUAUCCCAAAAAUUGGAGCUAAUGCACCUACAGUAUUCGGAACCAAUAGGCAAUCUUUCGCGAAUCCUGGCAACAGACGGAACUCGUCUAGGAGUCACCGUCUAAAUCAUCGAGUCUUGCUUGUUCCUCCGCUGGUAGUAUUUUACGUGUCUUCGGAUCCUUGUGACCAAGCCUUCCCACCCGAGGGCCAGGGAAGUCAUCGCGAUGAGCGUUCUAUUAAAUCUAUCGCGAGUGUAACAGACGACGGAUUUCCACAAAAAGAAUUCAGUGAAGUGCAAUAUCAACUCUUUCAAACAUAUCAGCCAUUGUAAGUCAACUUAUCUUACCUACAAUAAAUAAUC
Molecule: long non-coding RNA, 3061 nt
Organism: Cephus cinctus (wheat stem sawfly)
Lineage: Eukaryota; Metazoa; Arthropoda; Insecta; Hymenoptera; Cephidae
Exons: 3
Source: RefSeq, a predicted model, not a curated record